ACUAAACAGUUGUUUUUUAUUAAAAAAUAGCAGACAAAGAAAUUAUACCAUCCAGCCCUCCUAUUUAAUUAUUAAAUAAAAGUGUGAAAGAGAUAUCAAGGGCUAUUCUGUUAAAAUGUCAUCCGACCAGUCUAGGCCCUGUUGUGAACCAGAAGGUGUGCUAAGUUGGAUGUUGGAUAUAGAAUGGAAGGAAUAUCAUGGCCGAGAACAAGGCAUAAUUGUAUGUCCCUUGAUGUAGGGGGGCCUGUAAAGGUAAAUAAUUCCUGGAGCCAUCUCGAGGUAUAGUACUCAAGUCGGAGCGAAUCAAUUGAUAGCACGAUGAAAA
Long non-coding RNA from Sitophilus oryzae (rice weevil), 325 nucleotides. RefSeq lists it as uncharacterized. The record is from RefSeq and is a predicted model, not a curated record. Lineage: Eukaryota; Metazoa; Arthropoda; Insecta; Coleoptera; Curculionidae. The transcript is spliced from 3 exons.